Molecule: microRNA precursor, 87 nt
Filed under: Canis lupus familiaris (dog)
Lineage: Eukaryota; Metazoa; Chordata; Mammalia; Carnivora; Canidae
Also listed under: 1 other name
Description: mir-8799 microRNA precursor family
Rfam family: mir-8799 microRNA precursor family
Source: Rfam by way of RNAcentral
GGGGGGAGGCCGGAUCCCGGGCUGUGUCCUGGCGCCCUGAGCUCCGGGGCCUGCGCUGCUGGAUUCGUUCCGGCCGCGCAGCCCCUC